ACUCUAAGGAGACUGCCGGUGACAAACCGGAGGAAGGUGGGGAUGACGUCAAGUCAUCAUGGCCCUUACGGCCUGGGCUACACACGUGCUACAAUGGUCGGUACAAAGGGUUGCCAAGCCGCGAGGUGGAGCUAAUCCCAAUAAAACCGAUCGUAGUCCGGAUCGCAGUCUGCAACUCGACUGCGUGAAGUCGGAAUCGCUAGUAAUCGUCGAAUCAGAAUGUCACGGUGAAUACGUUCCCGGGCCUU
This 248-nucleotide ribosomal RNA is filed under the name uncultured Pseudomonas sp. RNAcentral describes it as "partial 16S ribosomal RNA". It matches the Rfam family "Bacterial small subunit ribosomal RNA", at positions 1137 to 1382 of the family's 1533-position model. The record is from RNAcentral. Lineage: Bacteria; Pseudomonadati; Pseudomonadota; Gammaproteobacteria; Pseudomonadales; Pseudomonadaceae.